GUCCCAGUUCGGAUUGUAGUCUGCAACCCGACUACAUGAAGCUGGAAUCGCUAGUAAUCGCGAAUCAGAAUGUCGCGGUGAAUACGUUCCCGGGUCUUGUACACACCGCCCGUCACACCAUGGGAGUCGGAAAUGCCCGAAGUCAGUGACCCAACCGUAAGGAGGGAGCUGCCGAAGGUGGAGCCGGUAACUGGGGUGAAGUCGUAACAAGGUACC
Molecule: ribosomal RNA, 216 nt
Filed under: uncultured bacterium
Lineage: Bacteria
Description: partial 16S ribosomal RNA
Rfam family: Bacterial small subunit ribosomal RNA
Source: RNAcentral